GACGAACGCUGGCGGCGUGCUUAACACAUGCAAGUCGAACGGAAAGGCCCUGCUUUUGUGGGGUGCUCGAGUGGCGAACGGGUGAGUUACACGUGAGUAACCUGCCCUUGACUUUGGGAUAACUUGAGGAAACUGGGGCUACUACCGGCUAGGUGCUCCUGCUGCAUGGUGGGGGUUGGAACGUUUCGGUGGUUGGGGAUUGACUGCGGGUUUGUGAGUUUGUUGGUGGGGGAGUGGCCUACCAAGGCAUUGACGGGUAGUCGGCCUGGGAGGUUGACCGGCCACAAGGCGACUGAGGUACGGCCCAGACUCGUACGUGAGGCAGCAGUGGAGAAUAUUGCACAAUGGUCGGAAGCCUGAGGCAGCAACGCCGCGUGCGGAAUGACGGCCAUCGGGUUGUAAACCGCAUUCGCCUGUUACGAAGCGUGAGUGACGUUAAUGGGUAAAGAAGCACCGGCUAACUACGUG
This 468-nucleotide ribosomal RNA is filed under the name uncultured bacterium. RNAcentral's name for it is "partial 16S ribosomal RNA". It matches the Rfam family "Bacterial small subunit ribosomal RNA", at positions 28 to 507 of the family's 1533-position model. The record is from RNAcentral.